This 802-nucleotide long non-coding RNA is filed under the name Mytilus galloprovincialis (Mediterranean mussel). Lineage: Eukaryota; Metazoa; Mollusca; Bivalvia; Mytilida; Mytilidae. The record is from RNAcentral.
AAGAAGACAAAGCCAUGUUUUAUUUCAGUUGAUAUUUGAUUAAACAAUGAUUAUGUAUGUUGACAAGGGCGGCACAUGUUUCCACAAUGUCUGCUGUUUUGGCCUUGGUGCCUCCAUAAUGUACUACAAUACGUUGUAUCUUUUAAAUUCACCAAUUUGGUGUUCCACUUGAAUUCUGUAUUCACCAAUCCCUGCUUAAAUGUUGUAACAUUGAAACGAGGGAUCAAUUAUAUUUUUUUUUUCAAUAUUCAUCUAGGAAAAACAUCAACUCUAACAAGUAUAUCAUUGCAGCGGAAAGUCCGUCGUUGAUAAAAAAAUAAAUAAAAAAAAUGUGAUAUUUUCCAUCGACCUUUUAAAAAUAUCAAUGUGAUUAUCCCUCCAGAAAUUGAAUAUGUACAUCAACUAAGGUGAAGAUCGUUGGAAAAACACCAAGUUGGUCGUGUUGUGAUACGGAACGACGGUCCAGUUAUCAUUUUUCAUUUAUUUUGAAAGAUUUCUUUAAAGCUUUUACACCAACAAAUUACUCGUUAUUUGCAUGCGGCAAAUAUUUGGUGAAAGACUCACAUAAUCAUAAAAAAUACAUAGAAAGUGGGUUAGGAUGCAGAAUGAGUGCAGUAUUUAUUAAUCAAUUCAACAUGAAAUGUCGUUCAAAUACAUACGAAAUUAGAAUAUUAUAUGACAGAGACAUUUAUCUAUUUAUUUAUUUGGUUGAUAGAUAUUCUUAAGUCCAGUAUGUUUCGUAAUGAUGAUUAUGAUGGUUUUUGUCUUUGAUACGACCCAUCCAUUUUACCUGUAAACUGUA